AUGAUGGUGACGUAAAAUCUCACCAGAGUAACAAUUGGAGGGCAAGUCUGGUGCCAGCAGCCGCGGUAAUUCCAGCUCCAAUAGCGUAUAUUAAACUUGUUGCAGUUAAAAAGCUCGUAGUUGAAUUUCUGCGUUGCCCGACUCGGCUACUUGCCUUGUCUGGUUUCGCUUUUGGGGUUUUCCCCUUUUUACUUUGAGAAAAUUAGAGUGUUUCAAGCAGACUUGUGUCUUGAAUACUUCAGCAUGGAAUAAUAAAGUAGGACUUUGGUUCUAUUUUGUUGGUUUGUGAACCUUAGUAAUGGUUAAUAGGAACGGUUGGGGGCAUUCGUAUUUAACUGUCAGAGGUGAAAUUCUUAGAUUUGUUAAAGACGAACUACUGCGAAAGCAUUUGCCAAGGACGUUUUCAUUAAUCAAGAACGAAAGUUAGGGGAUCGAAGACGAUCAGAUACCGUCGUAGUCCUAACCAUAAACCAUGCCGACUAGGGAUUGGAGGUCGUCAUUU
This 502-nucleotide ribosomal RNA is filed under the name Babesia gibsoni. RNAcentral describes it as "SSU rRNA". It matches the Rfam family "Eukaryotic small subunit ribosomal RNA", at positions 514 to 1068 of the family's 1831-position model. The record is from RNAcentral. Lineage: Eukaryota; Apicomplexa; Aconoidasida; Piroplasmida; Babesiidae.